RNAcentral lists this ribosomal RNA (92 nucleotides) under Streptococcus suis. The record is from RNAcentral. Lineage: Bacteria; Bacillati; Bacillota; Bacilli; Lactobacillales; Streptococcaceae.
ACACCUGUACCCAUGCCGAACACAGCAGUUAAGCCCUAGAACGCCUGAAGUAGUUGGGGGUUGCCCCCUGUUAGAUACGGUAGUCGCUUAGC